This 316-nucleotide ribosomal RNA is filed under the name uncultured bacterium. RNAcentral's name for it is "bacterial SSU rRNA". It matches the Rfam family "Bacterial small subunit ribosomal RNA", at positions 28 to 334 of the family's 1533-position model. The record is from RNAcentral.
GAUGAACGCUGGCGGCGUGCUUAACACAUGCAAGUCGAACGAGAAUCAACGGAUUGAGGAUUCGUCCAAAUGAAGUUGAGGAAAGUGGCGGACGGGUGAGUAACGCGUGAGGAACCUGCCUCGGAGUGGGGAAUAACAGUUGGAAACAGCUGCUAAUACCCCAUAGUAUCGAGAGAUGAAAGGGGUGGGAAACCACUUGCCAAGGGAUGAACCCAAGUGAGAUUAGGUAGUUGGUGGGGUAAAGGCCUACCAAGCCGACGAUCUCUAGCUGGUCUGAGAGGAUGGCCAGCCACACUGGGACUGAGACACGGCCCAG